Molecule: ribosomal RNA, 253 nt
Filed under: uncultured bacterium
Lineage: Bacteria
Description: partial 16S ribosomal RNA
Rfam family: Bacterial small subunit ribosomal RNA
Source: RNAcentral
UACGUAGGGGGCAAGCGUUGUCCGGAAUCAUUGGGCGUAAAGCGCGUGUAGGCGGCCCGGUAAGUCCGCUGUGAAAGUCGGGGGCUCAACCCUCGGAUGCCGGUGGAUACUAUCGAGCUAGAGUGCGGGAGAGGCGAGUGGAAUUCCUGGUGUAGCGGUGGAAUGCGCAGAUAUCAGGAGGAACACCAAUAGCGAAGGCAGCUCGCUGGGACGGUACUGACGCUAAGGCGCGAAAGCGUGGGGAGCGAACAGG